Long non-coding RNA from Neopsephotus bourkii (Bourke's parrot), 2212 nucleotides. RefSeq lists it as uncharacterized. NCBI's taxonomy places the organism in Eukaryota, Metazoa, Chordata, Aves, Psittaciformes, Psittacidae. The transcript is spliced from 3 exons. The record is from RefSeq and is a predicted model, not a curated record.
AGAAUACAAAUGGAUUCUCCCAGUGCCAUUUGCAGAGGCAUUUUGCUUUUGCCCACUGUUGGAGACAGGAGCUACAUGGACCUUUCGCCUGGCCCGGUGUCGCUGCUCUUCUGUUCUUGUGCUCGUGUUGUGAAAGACUUGGAGUCCUUGUGGUAGGAAGAAAGGGAAUCUGCUUCCAGAAUAAACUGGAGGACAAAGAGGAUCAGAGCAAUGUUUAUACACAUACACAGUAAUUUCUUGCUCAGUGUAUGUAUACAUAGGCACGUGAGCUAUGUGUGUCAACAGUACAUUUUUUCUAAGGUAAAUGUUUUUCUCCACAAAGCCCAAAUCCCACUUAGGGGAGAAACAGCCUUGCCAAUAACUGGAUUCAAUUUAUAAGAAACUAGGUGGAAAUAAUGAUGAGGAAAUGAGAAAAAUAAGCUUUUGAUGAAAUAAUUAAUGACUAGUUGUGACACAAUCUCACAGCAACAAUCCAAGGCUCAGGGAGAUCAGAGGAGACCAUCUACUGCCAGACAAUGCUUGCCAUGCAAAGCCAAGUAGCCUCCUGUUUGUAAUUUAAAAUCAUAACCAUACACAUGAACUGCAGUUAGGGGCAGCUUGUUUGUUUUAAAUUCUCUCCUAACAAAGUUACAGCACCCUCUUCACGUUGCAUCUGAAAGGGGAAUGGACCAGCGAGUUCCAAGCAGUUAUGCAGCAUGUAAGACAGGUCCAGCUUUACAGCAGCUAAAGCCAGGAAAUGAAUGCUCCAACGUGUGUGAAUUAUUCUACUGCCACCAAACUGAGCAGAGCACUGCUUCUCACAGAUCUGGUCCAAAAGACUGAAUGCAGUGGCUCUUAGCUGGGAAUAGCUGGCAAAUCUGAAGAGCCUACAAAAGGUGCAACGAAAAAGCAAAGCUUUUGUCAACAGGCUUGUGCUUGCUGUCACCAAGUCCUCACCCCCAUUGGCCAUGUUUUUAUGGACCCAAAAGUGGACAAUGUUGAAAGACUCAAAUAGAGCCUUCUGCUAAAAUAUUCUGCCCUUGGAGCUGACAUUCCUGAUGUUCACCAAGCAGAGGUGCGGAUGAGCCUGUGACAGUGGGUUGGUUCAGUUCAGGAGUCCCAUUUGAAGGCAAACUCAACAUCAUGCCCACUCCCUUGUUUCUGCUUGCACUGCAGCCUGGUCUCAGUUGCACAAACUGUAUCACUCUGCCUGAAAGCAAACGAGCAGAGGUGCUCCAGGACUGCUUCAGAUGGGCUCUGACUGCCAGUGGGAUUGUUCAGUCCAUAUAGCCAGGCUAUAGCUAGUCUGAAACCCUUGAAAUCACUGCUAGGCAGGCAUAAGGAUGGCCCCACCAUGUUUUUGCAAGGCAUUAACUGUAAAUGCCAACAGAGCCACUGUGCUGCACUCUGCUCCUGAGUCAAAAACAGGCUGAUUGCAGAGGUGCAGAGCCGCUGUCCUGUCUGCUCAGCUCUGAGGUUAGCUCUUUCCACUGGCCUGCUCUGUGCAUCCACCAUCCCAAGCAGAUUAGUAAGGGAAGGCAUGAUGGGACACAGUCCACUCCUAAUCGCUUCCAGAAGUCCUGUUUCUAGCUUGGUCAAGGCACUGCUGAGUCAUUUUCAUGCAGAAUGAGUUAUGGCUGUGUUUAAAACCUCUUUAUUACCCUUCAGUAAUCCAGAGCUCAAUCUUGCACUUUUAAUGCUCCUCUUCUAAAGGGCAGAUUUAUAUGUAAAACACUUUACACUUUGGUUUCCUCCUAAAUAAUAACUAACGUUGCUCUUCUGAGUGCUUUAUGACAUUAGCUAACUAGUCCUGACAACACCCCGGGUUUCCAUAUGCACAGCAGAAAGCUUGGAUGAGGUCCUUAAGUCUGGUGUUUUUAAUUCUCCUGAUUUUAUUGUGAGUCUAUGGUGGGCUUUUUCUCCAAGGCUCUGCUCCUGGAGGCACAUGAUCACAUGACUCUCUCACUUUUUAUUUUAACAGUAGAUUUCUAAUUCUUCCAUUUGCAGGGGAAAGCCUGACAAUGUAAUGCAAACGCACUGCAAGGCUCAAAAACAGAUGCCAAGCAACAGAAGCCAAACUGUGCAGCCAUUUUUAAAUCUCAGAAGUUUUAAGGCAAUCUAAACAUUCUCGGGGUCUUCACCCAUGUUUUCUGACUGUGGAGGGGCUUGGCAGUAAAUAAAGCUUCACAUUACAAAGAGGCUAAAGUGAAUAAAGUCUUCAGGGAUGCUAAUA